GUUGAGCUAAUCAGUGUUUAGGGGUUACCAAUUUUCGUAGAGGAUGCAGGAUAUCACGCAAAAUUACAAGAGAGGAUAUAUCCAUUGAUGUCCACAGCCUCUACUCGUUUUUGCAUGUUCUUCUUUAGGAACAGUCGCUCUGAUCUGCAUGGUUCUCAUCUCUUCACUUUAUACUCCUUUCUAGUUUACCAGUGGCAUCUGUCUUUCUUAGGAAUCUUCUCCUCCUUCAUCACCUUAUUCAGAAGUACAUAAUUUUUUUUUUCUUCACAAUCUUUUCAAAGGUGAUGG
RNAcentral lists this long non-coding RNA (288 nucleotides) under Brassica napus (rape). RNAcentral's name for it is "long non-coding RNA (BNAP_LNC009848)". Lineage: Eukaryota; Viridiplantae; Streptophyta; Magnoliopsida; Brassicales; Brassicaceae. The record is from RNAcentral.